Molecule: ribosomal RNA, 199 nt
Filed under: uncultured bacterium
Lineage: Bacteria
Description: partial 16S ribosomal RNA
Rfam family: Bacterial small subunit ribosomal RNA
Source: RNAcentral
AGUCUGCAACUCGACUACGUGAAGCUGGAAUCGCUAGUAAUCGCGAAUCAGAAUGUCGCGGUGAAUACGUUCCCGGGUCUUGUACACACCGCCCGUCACACCAUGGGAGUUGGGAAUGCCCGAAGCCGGUGACCUAACCGAAAGGGAGGAGCCGUCGAAGGCAGGCUUGAUAACUGGGGUGAAGUCGUAACAAGGUAGC